RNAcentral lists this long non-coding RNA (1327 nucleotides) under Homo sapiens (human). RNAcentral's name for it is "HSALNT0356198". Lineage: Eukaryota; Metazoa; Chordata; Mammalia; Primates; Hominidae. The record is from RNAcentral.
UCCAGUGCUGCAGUCGCUAUGACCAGAAAUAAAAGAGUUCUUUUUGUUUGUUCCUUUCGUGGCCUUGACGACGUUCUCGGGAGAAGCAGCUCAAUAGUCAAUAUCAGAUGGUUCUAGAAGAGUUGCUUCAUAAGUACCACUGCUGUGAUCUUUUCUGUAGGUUCCCAUGACAAUGCUAUAGGGGCUUUGUUUGUUCAUGGGAACUUGAGGAACACAGGGAAUUCUUGUUCAAUAAUGAACGCAAUGCGGCUUGGAAAAGACUCUUGGUAGACACGAACAAAAAAGUAUAGCCAGAGCAGCCUUCAGAAAUCAUUCCUGCAGUUUUUGGAAGCGUUUCUCAAGGUCUGAAUGGAGGCUGUGAAGUUACUAACAAAAUGAACAGGCUCUGCUUUUCAUAAUUGGCUUCAUGACUGUGGGUUUUGGCAACAACUCUAGAGGAACACAGGGCCCGGAAGAGGGGCACAAUGAAGCCACUCACUGUAAUAACUUAAGCAACAACAAUGCACCUUUUCAGAUUAAUGCCAAGAAAAUAUAUGCAGAAGAGACACCCAUGUCAUUGAACAAGAGGUUCUAAUAUUACAUAACAGGGUAGUGGUAUGUAGCUGUAGUGGUAUGUGCUCUCUCUCAAUGCUGAGCUGCAGCUCCCAGUCAGCCACUGGAUCAUGAGGGUAAAAUACGGAUACUUGACAUCUUCUUAAAGAACAUCAUGCCUGCUAAGCCAUCCAGUUUGGAUGCCCCAGUGCCUUCCACCAGCCAUUCUCAAGCCUCAUUAGAAGAGAGAGAUUGAUGACCCUGUAGCUGCAGCAUCCCAUCAUCCUGCAUUUUAGUUCAAUGCUUCAAACGUUCUUCAGGCCCAGUGUGCUUUCAGCUGUGUAUGUUAAUGGGAGAGUGAGCAAGUUUCGUCCUUGUGCCUGCAUCUGCUGGGAAACGAUAAGAGCCCAACAUAUGUUAGAAGCAACAAUCGCAGACAAAGAGUACAACUUGUUUUUGAAGACUCAAACUGAAACACUGGCCCUUCCUGAGUCUCAAGCCUGCUGGCCUUUGGGCUGGAACUAAACCCUCAGCUCUCCUGUGUCUCCAACCUGCCCGCUCUGCCUAGUGAUCUUGGGACUUCCCAGACUUUAUAAUCAUGUGCAUCUCCUGCUGUUCCCAAUCUACUCAUCCUAGGAACCAACUCAGGCUACAAACCUGUACAGCAUGUGAUUCUACUGAAUAUACGGGCAAUUGUUAACACAAUGAUGUGAUGACUGAUUUCCAGCAGCUGAAGGGAAGUCUUUUGGAUUAACUUUUGUGAUUGAUUUGCUCUGGGUUCAGUCAGCCUGCAAGG